This 116-nucleotide ribozyme is filed under the name Aedes aegypti (yellow fever mosquito). RNAcentral's name for it is "drz-agam-1 ribozyme". It matches the Rfam family "drz-agam-1 ribozyme". The record is from Rfam by way of RNAcentral. Lineage: Eukaryota; Metazoa; Arthropoda; Insecta; Diptera; Culicidae.
UGCCCAGCAACUCCUAUUCCUACCUCCUCGUGGUACUGAACGGGUUAGGAGCAACCUUAGGGAAAAUCCUGUAACCAACUCCGCUAUAAACUUUUGUCGUAUGCUGAUAGGGACGU